Molecule: long non-coding RNA, 1419 nt
Organism: Bombus pascuorum
Lineage: Eukaryota; Metazoa; Arthropoda; Insecta; Hymenoptera; Apidae
Exons: 3
Source: RefSeq, a predicted model, not a curated record
GAGCGAGCGACGGUUCAAACGUAUUAUACCAACUCUAUAUAAUGUACGUAGAGAAAUUUUUAAAUAUAUCUGACUAUCACGAGUAUUAGCUCAUCUUGUCGGUAAAUAAAUUAAAAUGUUUGAUACGAAAAACAAGCUGGUCGAAGAAGAAUCCAGGAGGACGAGACGCGACGUAGCUUCCCGUGCGGAAACAAAAGUCACCUAAGUGCGAACUGCCCAACGGAAAGCAAAGUUGCCAGAAGUUUCAAAUGCCAGGAGUACGGACGCAUCGCAUCGCAAUUUAACAAUUGCGUCAAGAGGAUAUUUGCCACCCGGAGUGCUGUACGGAUCUGCUCUAAAGUUAAACGUAAACACCAGAUGAGAUACAUCCACGACGGUAGGAUAGUUACCAGAUGGGAUAGGAAUAGAUUCCCUCCUCAACGGAAAUAUGGACAGAAGAACACCCCCUGGACGGAGAGCUAGAAUAUAAGGACCAGGCGCUUCAAGAGACGAGUAUUCAGUCUUCAUCGCGCACGCAGUACGUCGGAAAAAUGCGACUGUAAAACAUCGAGAGGUUCCUUAGUAUCUUUGAGCGGAAAUUUCAAAGAUGAAGGAACGUCCUCGACGACUGAGCAACGGUGUCCAUCGGUGACGAAAAUCUACGCGACGCUUAUGGUAAUCCACAGAGAUCGUGGUUAAAUGCGGAACCGGAAAACCCGCAAGUUGUCCAAUGUUGAAGCGAAAUGAAGAAAUUCAAGAACCUUGGCGUCUGCGUAGAAAAGAAAGAAGCUAUUGGACUUUUCUACGUGAUUUCGAAGAUGGACGUAAAUGGAGUGGCAGCCAAAUCGAAACAGAUUCGAAUCUGUGACGAGAUCGUUGAGCAUUGUGGACGGAGACUGCAUAUAUCGGUAGUCGAUCGUCGAAGCUAGGCGCGCGUUAAAAACAUUUUUGGACACCAUAGAAUUGCAUAUAUCCAAAAAACCGACUUAAGCUUUUGCUGAUGAGCUAAGUGAUGUAGACGCUGAAACAAGGUUAAAGGAAUCAGCCGAUACCCUAUUUCGGUUAAAAUAAUUGGGGUGAUUCAAAUGAUAUUAACACUGAGUUAAAAAUUUAAUUACAACUCUUUGUCUCCAACAACUUUCAAAAACUGGUAAGUACAUUUCGACCGAAGAGUUGCUAACAAGUGAAGUUUGGAGUUCGUGAUGUCGAGGAGCAAAACUACUGAUGGCGGUGUGCCUGGAACACGAGACACGCGGAUCCGUCUAUUGCAAUUUUCGUUAAGGAAACAAGGACAACGGACAUUGUUGCUAAUUGAAAAAUUGGUGGAUAAGGAUUGGACGGACACUUAUCCCGUCUUUUACCCUGACGGGCAAUUAGGAGCGCCUCUACUUUAAAGACGUAUUAAAUAAAUUAAGGGCUUCGACAGUAAGUAAAAAUUUA